CCUCAACCUACCCAUUUCUCUGUUUUUGUUCUACUUCAUUUCAUAGAACAAAAUUAAUCUCAAAAGAUUAGAAAGUUUCGUUUGUUUUUUGUUCUCAUUUUUCUUUUCGCUGUUUUUGUGAUGAUGGGUAGGUUUCAGGAGAGAUUGUCUGCCUUUUUCAGUAACAGAUGGCUGGUGUUUGUGGCUGCAAUGUGGAUACAAUCGUGUGCUGGUGUUGGGUAUUUGUUUGGGAGUAUAUCACCAGUUAUAAAGAGAUCAUUGAACUAUAAUCAGAGGCAGCUUGCUAGUUUGGGUGUGGCUAAGGAUCUUGGGGAUAGUGUUGGGUUCUUGGCUGGGAGUUUGUCUGAAAUCUUGCCUUUGUGGGGUGCUUUGUUGGUUGGUGCUUUGCAGAAUUUUGUUGGAUAUGGAUGGGUUUGGCUUGUUGUUACUGGUAGAGCUCCUGUUUUGCCUUUGUGGGCUAUGUG
Molecule: unclassified non-coding RNA, 464 nt
Filed under: Hevea brasiliensis (rubber tree)
Lineage: Eukaryota; Viridiplantae; Streptophyta; Magnoliopsida; Malpighiales; Euphorbiaceae
Source: RNAcentral